GCUGACCCCGGAGAAAAAGCCUGAGAGACGGCUUUUAGACCUAUGGGUUGCAGCAGUUACGUAAAUUAUCCCAUGCGCCUCGCGCGAGAUAGUGACAGGGAAUAUCAAAGCGGGGCUCUUUGAGUCUUGCUGUUGGAAUGAGAACAAAUUAAAACCUUUAGCGAGGAUCAAUUGGAGGGCAAGUCUGGUGCCAGCAGCCGCGGUAAUUCCAGCUCCAAUAAGGAACAUUAAAUUUGUUGCAGUUAAAAAGCUCGUAGUUGAAUUUCUGGACGCUGCCGUUCGACCGCGUGGGAGCAAUCCCGCGCGCGUUCGAGCCACGUCCAUGUUCGCGCUGGCGGCGCGCGUGCUUCACUGUGCGCGCGUCGACGACGCGUCUUUUACUGUGAACGAAACGAAGCGUUCAUAGCAGGCUUUGAGCUUGAACGAAUCGCACGGAAUAAUGAAUACGACGCUCGUCGUUUUCGUUGGUUCGCGACGGGUGUUAUUGGUUAACAGGAACAGUUGGGGGUAUUUGUACUUCAACGCUAGAGGUGAAAUUCUUGGAUUGUUGAAUGACAAACGACUGCGAAGGCAUUUACCAAGGAUGUUUUCAUUAAUCAAGAACGAAAGUUUGGGGAUCGAAGAUGAUUAGAUACCAUCGUAGUCCAAACAGUAAACGAUGCCGACUCGGGAUCCGAGCCUGUCAUUUACGACGGCUCGGGCACCGUAUGAGAAAUCAAAGUCUUAGGGUUCCGGGGGGAGUAUGGUCGCAAGGCUGAAACUUAAAGGAAUUGACGGAAGGGCACACCAGAGGUGGAGCCUGCGGUUUAAUUUGACCCAACGCGGGGAAACUUACCAGGUCCAGACAUGACGAGGAUUGACAGUUUGAAAGCACUUUCUUGAUUUUAUGGGUGGUGGUGCAUGGCCGUUCUUAGUUGGUGGAGUGAUUUGUCUGGUUGAUUCCGAUAACGAACGAGACCCGGACUGCUAAAUAGCCACCCGCUAGCUUUGCUAGCGCAGGGGCUUCUUAGUGGGACAACUUGGUUUUACCAAGCGGAAGCACCGGGCAAUAACAGGUCUGUGAUGCCCUUAGAUGUUCUGGGCCACACGCGCGCUACAAUGACGGGUUCAACGAGUUUUUUCCUUGCUCGGAAGGGCAUGGGUAAUCUUCUCAAUGCUCGUCGUGAUGGGGCUAGAUUUUUGCAAUUAUUAAUCUUCAACGAGGAAUCUCUAGUAUGUGCGAGUCAUCAGCUCGCGCAGAAUGCGUCCCUGCCCUUUGUACACACCGCCCGUCGCAGCUACCGAUUGGAUGGUCCGAUGAAAAGUUUGGAGGUGGCUAGCAUGGGCAACUGCGCUGGCCGCCAAAGCUCUUUGAAUCUUAUCAUCUAGAGGAAGCUGAAGUCGUAACAAGGUUUCCGUAGGUGAACCUGCGGAAG
This 1415-nucleotide ribosomal RNA is filed under the name metagenome. RNAcentral describes it as "SSU rRNA". It matches the Rfam family "Eukaryotic small subunit ribosomal RNA", at positions 376 to 1823 of the family's 1831-position model. The record is from RNAcentral.